GGGGCCGAGGACCUUUGCUGCUUGCUACACACGUGGUUGCUGUGCGCUCCAGUUAGGGGUUCGGUGACAGGUCGAUUUCCUGUAUGUCAACUUAAGGACUCACCUGUGCCUGUUACCUUUUUGAUUAGCAAAAGGAAAAUGAAUUCCUCCCUCAACAUUAAGCUGUCUAGAAACUCCCCUAUACGUGAACUUAAGAACCCGAUAUAAACGGGCCCGAACAGAGUAAAAUCGAGCAGUGUUGAUUCAUCAGAGACCCGGAGGGUGUGUUGUCACUAGCGAGUACUUGGUUGCAAACUCUCAGCAAGUUUAAACGGAGUAGGCUGUUUGGGGCAGCAUGCUGAGGAUAGCUGCCUGUCAGCCCCACAGCGGGGCGGGAGGCAGGGAUGAAAGAUCGAGAUGGACUAGAAAGGCCUGCAGCUGGGACAGACUCUCGGCCCGCCCUGUGAAAGGAGGAACCAGUACUUUUGGAACAUCCUUAUUCUCCCUAAAACGGAACAGUACGCAGGAUUACGUUUCUAAACAUUCCUGUGACCAUCUUCUAUGAAAGUCUCUCUUUGGGUCAUGCUUGGUCAAAACUGAGCCUUAAUGAGUCAAUCAAAAACAAACUCUGUGGUCAAGUCCUCAGAAUCAUUUUGCAAAUCAAAAGGAGCUGGAAAGGAAGGAAUCCGAAAAUUCUCUUUCCUAAGGCAGUCAGUUGUAGGAAUGGAUUUCACUGAUUUUCCAUGUUGGGCCUGAGGAGAGGCAUUGUGUUCCAAAGGAUGUGCCUAUCUUCUUACAUAGUCAGCGAAGAGAAGAGCGGAAGCGAGCUGCUGUGUCCAGGCUAGAAUCAAAAUGGCAUACUUCAGCCUAUGGAUGGCCAAGGGGAGAUGUCCGUGAAAGAGGGUAUGUAUAUAGGUCUGGGGAUUUGCAAAGACAUCUGAGGUCAAAUACAGAUUUGGGAGUCAUUUGCAUCUGGGUGUUGAGGCCAAGGGGAUGGGUGACAUCUCAUGAGAGGGUGUAUAGGGUGAGAAAAGAGUACCUAGGAAAACUAGGAGGAGCACCAACAUGUGGGAAAGAAAUGGCCCGAGGAGGAGGAGUCCAUGAAGGACAGGCAGGAGGUAGGAAGAAAUCCGUAGGAGGGCAUUAUCGUGGAAGUCAAGUCAAGGAGAGUGGUGGUUAACAAUGACAGGUGCGGCAGAGGGCAUGUAGGAUACAUACUGAAACAUGUUCUUUAGAUGGGGCAACAAUAACACCAUCACUCUCCUUGGUGAGAGUCAUCACAUGAGUGGAGAAAAACUACCCAGCUGAGCGUACUCACAAGAGGAGAGAGAAGGAAGUGGAAAAAGUGCAGGCAAUUAUACAGCUAACAUUGACUGUAAGAAGGGGAGUUUGUUUGCUUGUUUGUUGACUGGUUUAUUUAUUUCCUUUUAAAAGGAGAGAGACUUGAGCAUGGUUAAGCACUGAUAAGUUGGAGAGAGAGUUGGAAUGGGAUUCCUGAAGAGUGCAUUAGGACCCCAGUCCUUUCCAGGAGCCGGGAGCUGACAUCAGUCUUGCUGCCUAAAGCUCCGUAUCCAGCACUUACUAGCACCAGGCACUGUAGCAAGCAAUGGAGGUUAAAACAUGAAGAGACACUGUCCCAGCCCUCUCGGAGCUCACGUUCCAGCAGAUUAGCCUUGAACUAGCAUCCACUGCCAAGCCUCCUCUUUCUGCUGAGGAAGACUGGCCCUGAGCUAACAUCUGUGCCCAUCUUCCUCUAUUUUGUAUGUGGGACGCCUGCCAUAGCAUGGCCUGAUGAGCAGUGUGUAGCUCUACACCUGGGAUCCGGAGCAGUGAACCCCAGGCUGCCAAAGCGGAGCGCGUGAACUUAACUGCUGUGCCACAGGGCUGCCUGUGUCAAUGACUUUCUUUUAGUAAACACAACUAGGAUUGAGGGCAGAAGGGCAGGGGAGAGAGGGAGAAAUGGAGGGGGGAGAGAGAGAGAGAUGCUUGAUUUUUUAAAAGAUGGUCCCUUGGACAAGAACACUUGUCAAAGAAGGCCUGGAUGCUCUUGGGAAUUAGCUGACAUUCCAAAGUGUUCACUUUUCCUGAUAGCUUUUGCACCCCUUAAGACGACACCGAGAGCGACCCUAGUCCCUCCACAGCCUUUGAAUGAAUGGGAGGCCCUGAUCUGUUUGGGUGAUUGGAUUUGUCUUGGCAGGUGGGGCUGGCUAUCAUCCACUUAAGCAGGACAGGUUCUCCAGGGUGCCAAGAAGGCUCCUCUUCAACAUGUUCUCUUGAUUUUUACUGACUCCUUUGACAGGGAGAAGCCUCUUGCUUACGAGCCACCCACUACAAGAGCACUUGCUGACGUUAAUGUGUGAAUGGCAUCCGUACCAGGCACUUUCCUGAGAAAACACUUUGAUAGAGCAGAGGACAGAGCAAGCAUGACGAUGCCCAGUUGUGGAAAACGGGAGAGGGUGUCUUCCGACCGAGGGAGGACGGGGAGGCUCAGAGAGGAAGCUGCACAGAUGUUGAAACGACUACUACAGGAUGAGAUGUUAAACUGGAAAGAAAACUUACAGACCUACAGGAACACAAUGACAGUAACAUCUUUAUAUUCUCACAACCCAGAGAUAUAAAAUGUGUGUGUAAGAUGGAGAUACAGCUUCUGCAUUUUCAAAAUGCUCAGAUGCCUGCAUGUGAAAGGCAGAGAGGAGAACCAGGACUCUCAGAGGAGAUGAAUUUUGACUCCAGACUGACUGGAACCAUCAGGAACUGGUGACUUGUGACCACAGCUUGUCCCGAGCGGACUCACUGCUGCCUCUGUGGUGAGCCUAUUUUCAAAGCCCCACAGUGGCCCCUUGUAAACUUUUCUCUUUUCCCUCAAGCCCUGACACUGCCGGUCCACUUGAGCUCCCACUGUGUGGAGACAAAAGGCCACCUAAUCUGUAGCAUCCCCCUCAAAACACCUCUAUUUUCAGCCCUUCUUCCUCCCUAUUUUAAUGAGCAGGUUUCCUGGAUUUUUCCCGAGGCCAGUUUCCCUGCUUGUGUGCUUGGCCCCAUCCUUUCCACCCCCCCAGGACCUUACUCAUUUGGUGAAAAUACAACUUUUUAGAAAUAAAUAUGUAACGUUCUCUGCACUUAAUAUUUUAUGGCAAUUAGGCUUUUUAAUCCCAAUGUCUGCUAUGCUAGGCUGACAGGAUUUUUAUGUAAACCAGCUGAUUUAUAUAUAUGUAAGUCCUAUAUGUGUAUAUGAAAGUUACAUUGGUAUGUUUAGACUAGUACAGCAGUGAGGAUGACAGAGAGAAAAGCAGACGUAUGAAAAUGCAGAACAAUAGAUUAGAGCGUGAAGCCUCUGUAGGUGGACAGCCUGAGCAUGCUUUGCUAAUUGUUUUGAAUCCUCAAUACCCUGUAGUGCAGACAGGGUGGGGCAAGGGGCCCAGAAUCACACACGUAUCAUGCCUUAAAGGCAAGCGGCAGACAACAGCUGUGUUGAUGCCACUACUAGAACUCCUCCGUGCCAUGUCCCCUAGCCCCACUGCUGGGCCCCCUAACUUGUUUAUUUCUAUUGAAGUAUAACAUACAUUAAAUAAUUUUCCCCUUUUAAAUGCACAGUUUGAUAAGUUUUAAAAUAUGCAUACUUCUAUGUGACUAUCAGCACAAUCAAGAUACAGUUUUGAUUUCAUCACCCAAAAAGUCCUCUCUUACUCCUUUGCAUUCAAGGUCUGCUGCUCCCAAUCCCUGGAAUCCAUCAAUUUGUUGUCUCUGAGCGUUAUGGACUGCGUGUUCACGUCGCCCCAAUUAAUACAUUGAAACCCUAACUCCCAACAGAGUGGUAUUAGGAGAUGGGGCUUUUGGGACAUAAUUAGGUCAUGAGGAUGGGGCCCCCAUGAUGGAGAUUAGUGCCCUUAUAAGAAGAGGAAGACAGCUAGCUCUCUGCUGUCUCUGCCAUGUGAGGAUACAGCAAGAUGUCCUCUGCCAGCCAGGAAGAGAGCCCUCAGCAGAUAUUAGAUCUGCCCGUGCCUUGAUCUUGGACUUUCUAGCCUCCAGAACUGUGAGAAACAAAUGUUUACUGAUUAAGCCACCCAGUCUAUGGUAUUUUUUUGUUAUAGCAGCCCGAGCAGACUAAGACACUUAGUAUAGACCAGUUUUGCCUGUUCUAGUAUAGAUUCACAAAUUAGUUUUGACUGUUUAUACAAAUGGUACAUUGGAUAUAAACUCUCUAUUGUCUGGAUUCUUUUCCUCAACAUAAUAUUUUAAAAAUUCUUCUAUGUUAUUACAUGUAUCAGUG
This 4249-nucleotide long non-coding RNA is filed under the name Equus asinus (donkey). RNAcentral's name for it is "lncRNA (ENSEASG00005034781.1)". The record is from RNAcentral. Lineage: Eukaryota; Metazoa; Chordata; Mammalia; Perissodactyla; Equidae.